UAUAUGGCGCUCUUGUCUUGAACGUGACGUGGCUUUCCGCUACAACCGGAAGUAGGACAGAGCUACGUGUGCUAAAGAGAGGCUGGAGUGUUGCUCUGUUUCGAGUUAAGAAAGCAAACACUUAAUAAAGAAACAGGAUGGUGACCGACGUGCAGCUGGCCAUCUUUGCCAACAUGCUUGGUGUGUCAUUAUUCCUACUAGUCGUGUUGUACCAUUAUGUUGCUGUCAACAAUCCCAAGAAGCAGGAGUAAAUGUCUACAAUGUCUGGAGAGGGGGAUCAGAAGCACUUCUCAUUCCAUCUCCUUGCUGAGAGACGUUUUGCGGCACCAUCGUUUUUGUUUUUCACAGAUUAAAAACUUCAAUUUGCAAUAAAAACACUAAAAUGAA
Molecule: RNA transcript, 387 nt
Organism: Nothobranchius furzeri (turquoise killifish)
Lineage: Eukaryota; Metazoa; Chordata; Actinopteri; Cyprinodontiformes; Nothobranchiidae
Gene: ost4
Gene name: oligosaccharyltransferase complex subunit 4 (non-catalytic)
Source: RefSeq, a predicted model, not a curated record